UCUACGGGAGGCUGCAGUGAGGAAUAUUGGUCAAUGGGAGGAAUCCUGAACCAGCCAUGCAGCGUGCAGGACGACGGCCCUACGAGUUGUAAACUGCUUUUGUGCCGGGGUAAAAUGCUCCACGUGUGGGGUUUUGUAAGUACGGCAUGAAUAAGGACCGGCUAAUUCCGUGCCAGCAGCCGCGGUAAUACGGAGGAUCCGGGCGUUAUCCGGAUUUAUUGGGUUUAAAGGGUGCGUAGGCGGGCUUUUAAGUCGGCGGGAAAAAUUCGGGGCUAAACCCUGGCCGGCCGGGGAAACUGGGGGCCUUGAGUGCGCGGAAGGAAGGCGGAAUGCGUGGUGUAGCGGUGAAAUGCAUAGAUAUCACGCAGAACCCCGAUUGCGAAGGCAGCCUUCGGGAGCCCGACUGACGCUGAGGCACGAAGGUGCGGGGAUCGAACAGGAUUAGAUACCCGGGUAGUC
RNAcentral lists this ribosomal RNA (459 nucleotides) under uncultured bacterium. RNAcentral describes it as "partial 16S ribosomal RNA". It matches the Rfam family "Bacterial small subunit ribosomal RNA", at positions 338 to 795 of the family's 1533-position model. The record is from RNAcentral.